This 249-nucleotide ribosomal RNA is filed under the name uncultured bacterium. Its description in RNAcentral is "partial 16S ribosomal RNA". It matches the Rfam family "Bacterial small subunit ribosomal RNA", at positions 107 to 354 of the family's 1533-position model. The record is from RNAcentral.
UGAGUAACACGUAUGCAACCUGCCUGCCACAGCCGGAUAAUCGGGAGAAAUUUCGUCUAAUACGGCAUAAUGCAUCGACGGGACAUCCUGUUGGUGCCAAAGGUUGAUUCCGGUGGCGGAUGGGCAUGCGUCGCAUUAGUUAGUUGGCGGUGUAACGGACCACCAAGACGACGAUGCGUAGGGGUUCUGAGAGGAAGGUCCCCCACACUGGUACUGAGACACGGACCAGACUCCUACGGGAGGCAGCAG